Molecule: ribosomal RNA, 482 nt
Filed under: uncultured bacterium
Lineage: Bacteria
Description: partial 16S ribosomal RNA
Rfam family: Bacterial small subunit ribosomal RNA
Source: RNAcentral
AUUGAACGCUGGCGGCAUGCCUUACACAUGCAAGUCGAACGGUAACGGGCCUUCGGGUGCCGACGAGUGGCGAACGGGUGAGUAAUACAUCGGAACGUGCCCGAUCGUGGGGGAUAACGAGGCGAAAGCUUUGCUAAUACCGCAUACGAUCUACGGAUGAAAGCAGGGGACCGCAAGGCCUUGCGCGGACGGAGCGGCCGAUGGCAGAUUAGGUAGUUGGUGGGAUAAAAGCUUACCAAGCCGACGAUCUGUAGCUGGUCUGAGAGGAUGAUCAGCCACACGGGGACUGGGACACGGCCAAGACUCCUACGGGAGGCAGCAGUGGGGAAUUUUGGACAAUGGGCGCAAGCCUGAUCCAGCCAUGCCGCGUGCAGGAUGAAGGCCUUCGGGUUGUAAACUGCGUUUGUACGGAACGAAAAGCCUUCUUUUAAUACAGGAGGGUCAUGACGGUACCGGAAGAAUAAGCACCGGCUAACUACGUG